Long non-coding RNA from Numida meleagris (helmeted guineafowl), 144 nucleotides. RefSeq lists it as uncharacterized. The record is from RefSeq and is a predicted model, not a curated record. NCBI's taxonomy places the organism in Eukaryota, Metazoa, Chordata, Aves, Galliformes, Numididae. The transcript is spliced from 2 exons.
AUUCUAUGAUUCUAUGACCACAGAAUCACAGAACCAUUGGGAAUGGGAGGGACAUCUGGAGAUCAUCAAGCCCAACAUCGUGCUAAAGCAGUCCUCUACAAUAGGUCACACAGCCAGUUUCCUCACGGCACCAUUCUAGGACGG